GGCGAACGCUGGCGGCGUGCUUAACACAUGCAAGUCGAACGGAAAGGCCCUGCUUUUGUGGGGUGCUCGAGUGGCGAACGGGUGAGUAACACGUGAGUAACCUGCCCUUGACUUUGGGAUAACUUCAGGAAACUGGGGCUAAUACCGGAUAGGAGCUCCUGCUGCAUGGUGGGGGUUGGACAGUUUCGGCGGUUGGGGAUGGACUCGCGGCUUAUCAGCUUGUUGGUGGGGUAGUGGCUUACCAAGGCUUUGACGGGUAGCCGGCCUGAGAGGGUGACCGGCCACAUUGGGACUGAGAUACGGCCCAGACUCCUACGGGAGGCAGCAGUGGGGAAUAUUGCACAAUGGGCGGAAGCCUGAUGCAGCAACGCCGCGUGCGGGAUGACGGCCUUCGGGUUGUAAACCGCUUUCGCCUGUGACGAAGCGUGAGUGACGGUAAUGGGUAAAGAAGCACCGGCUAACUACGUG
RNAcentral lists this ribosomal RNA (468 nucleotides) under uncultured bacterium. RNAcentral describes it as "partial 16S ribosomal RNA". It matches the Rfam family "Bacterial small subunit ribosomal RNA", at positions 28 to 507 of the family's 1533-position model. The record is from RNAcentral.